RNAcentral lists this unclassified non-coding RNA (520 nucleotides) under uncultured Ambispora. RNAcentral's name for it is "SSU rRNA". It matches the Rfam family "Eukaryotic small subunit ribosomal RNA", at positions 569 to 1087 of the family's 1831-position model. Lineage: Eukaryota; Fungi; Glomeromycota; Glomeromycetes; Archaeosporales; Ambisporaceae. The record is from RNAcentral.
AGCAGCCGCGGUAAUUCCAGCUCCAAUAGCGUAUAUUAAAGUUGUUGCAGUUAAAAAGACUCGUAGUUGAAUUUUGGGUCUGGCCGGGCGGUCCGCCCUCUGGGUGAGCACUGUUCCGACGCCGGGCCUAUCCUUCUGGUGAGUCGGCAUGUCCUUUAUUGGGUGUGUCGGGGAACCAGGACCAUUACCUUGAAAAAAUUAGAGUGUUCAAAGCAGGCGUAUGCUCGAAUACAUUAGCAUGGAAUAAUGAAAUAGGACGCGUGGUGCUAUUUUGUUGGUUUCUAGAACCGCCGUAAUGAUUAAUAGGGAUAGUUGGGGGCAUUAGUAUUCAAUUGUCAGAGGUGAAAUUCUUGGAUUUAUUGAAGACUAACUUACUGCGAAAGCAUUUGCCAAGGAUGUUUCCAUUAAUCAAGAACGAAAGUUAGGGGAUCGAAGACGAUCAGAUACCGUCGUAGUCUUAACCAUAAACUAUGCCGACUAGGAAUCGGGCGAUGUUAUUCUACAUGACUCGCCCGGCGCC